RNAcentral lists this ribosomal RNA (702 nucleotides) under Triticum aestivum (bread wheat). RNAcentral describes it as "partial small subunit ribosomal RNA". Lineage: Eukaryota; Viridiplantae; Streptophyta; Magnoliopsida; Poales; Poaceae. The record is from RNAcentral.
AUGGCUCUCUGCCAUGCACGAGGUACUAUCCAGGAGAGUUUUACAACACUCGUGGUCACACUAUGGGCCUUGUGGGGAGCGCGCCGUAAGGCGAUCUAUGAGCAAAUAUACCAAAGUCCUUUUCAGGUUCAUGGAUUUAUUCAGUCUUACAUAAGGGAAUUGGAAGCUAUCAAGACUGUUAAAGCAAGGCAGGGUGGCAAUACUGUUCCUCGCCCAACUAGCUGGAUUCCCCCUCCAUCAGGGAUGACAAAACUGAAUGUAGAUGCUGCAGUGGGGAGGGGCAGUAGACACGGCUCGGUAGCGGCAAUAUCAAGAGACUCUGAUGGCCUUUUUCUGGGAGCAUCGGCGAUGGUUUUUGUAGGUAUUUCCGAUCUGGCCACGCUUGAGUGUAUGGCGAUCAGGGAGGCGUUGGCCCUUGCGGAUGACCUCAAUGUUUCAUCUAUACAAGUGGCGCCCGACUCGAAGGUGGUGGUCGAGGACAUCCAAGCUAACAAUCCUACAGCUUAUGGUGCGAUCAUACAUGAAAUAAUAGAGCAUAGAUCAAAUUUCCUUUUCUGUAAUCUUAGCCACGAAUUUAGGAGCUUGAAUGUCGAAGCUCACAAACUCGCGAAGCACGCUUUAUCGCUUCCGGCUGGCCGACAUGUUUGGUUGGGACAGCCGGACGGACUUUCUUUCGUCCAUGUAAACAUUGUGACGACCUAA